UGGAUAGAGAGGGACAGCAGAGCCAACAAAAUUCACAAAAGACCUGGACAUAAAAGCUACAAGAAGACCUCAAGACAUGUCACAGUGAAGGACAUGGACCUUACCGGAACAGGUGACCAUAUUGCAGCUAAUGGCGUGGGACAACGGAAUGGAUCCCAGCCUUUGUAAAAGAGGGAAAUGAAGCGGUCUUCUUGUCAGACUCCGGAGACGGGCACAUCGUGCACCACUCCCUAGCAUACUUCGCCAAUAUCCAGUCUCUUGACAACAAGGUUGAUGAAAUCCGAGCAAGGGUAGCAUUCCAGAGGGACAUCAGAGACUGUAACGUUCUUUGCUUCACGGAAACAUGGCUCACUCAAGAGACGCUAUCGGAGUCGGUGCAGCCAGCUGGUUUCUCCACGCAUCACGCCGACAGAAACAAACAUCUUUCUGGUAAGAAGAGGGGCGGGGGCGUAUGCUUUAUGGUUAACGAGACGUGGUGUGGUCACAACAACAUACAGGAACUCAAGUCUGACUCAACUCC
Long non-coding RNA from Oncorhynchus tshawytscha (Chinook salmon), 520 nucleotides. The record is from Ensembl. Lineage: Eukaryota; Metazoa; Chordata; Actinopteri; Salmoniformes; Salmonidae.